GUCAGAACCAGUCUGUUUCUAACUUGUCUGAGAUCUGAAGGUGAACCCGGUCCACUUUCUAAAUCAGACUCGGUCCACCCUUAGGCCCAGUCUGUUUUUAAAGUCGCACCCAGUUCAACUCCGGGCAGUUUAUGCACGGAGUCUGGAAAACAAACGCUCAAGUAAUGCCAUGUUCCUAAGAAAAAAGCAGCAGAGGCUUGGAGAGGGUCACACCCAGCAUCUCCUGAGGAGGAAGAGGCCACGAGCUCGCUCGGGGUUCAGCAGUGCUACUAUUGUUUCCCAUGUGUUGCAAAUAGAAACGUAUAGCUCAUCUGUGACCUCCUAUCCCAGUGGAAGAGGAAUUGUGUUUAAGGAGCCAAUAUUCACAACUUCUGGUUAUAGCUGGGAAUCAUGA
Molecule: long non-coding RNA, 394 nt
Filed under: Capra hircus (goat)
Lineage: Eukaryota; Metazoa; Chordata; Mammalia; Artiodactyla; Bovidae
Description: lncRNA (ENSCHIG00000001401.1)
Source: RNAcentral